This 2293-nucleotide long non-coding RNA is filed under the name Gallus gallus (chicken). The record is from RNAcentral. Lineage: Eukaryota; Metazoa; Chordata; Aves; Galliformes; Phasianidae.
AAUUAUUUCAGCUUCUUUAACAUUCACUGUUUCUUCAGCCGUCAUGAUGGCAGCCUGGGGCCCGGCGGCCCGUCCGCGCGCCGGCUGCGGGGCGUGAGGAGAAGAUGGCGGCAGGCCUCGCUGCGGGGCGGGCCCGGGGCCGCGCUCGGUCGGCCGGGGUCUCGCUGUCGCUCGGCGCUGCGACCGUCGCCCUCCCUCUCGUCCGCCGCCCGGCCCCCAGGACCCUCCCCGCGCCGGGGCGGGGUGCCCGUUCGCCGCCUGAGUGCAAGCGAGAAAGGACGGCCCGGCUGGGCGUCGCCGCGGGGGCGGGGAGCGGCCGGUGGCGGCGGGGCGGGGCCGCGCUUUGUUAGCGGCGGGGCGAGCACCCUCCCGCCCACGGGCCGCAGCGGGUGGCGGCGGUGCCCGGACGAGCGCCGAGGGAACCGCGGACGGGGCGGGGUCGGGCGGCGGAGCUGCGGCGGCUGCAGCUGCCGGGCCGGCAAGUGCGGGCUCGUCGACGUUCCCCGCCCAGCGCGGCGGCUCCAGGCGCGUCCCUGUGAGCGGCCUGCCCCGAGGCCUGCCCUUGGCUCGCGGCGCCUCUGAGGGCGGCGGGAACCGCCUCGGCUUCUCUGAGGAGGUCGUGUGGCGCGCGCGGCCGAGCGCCCAUCUGAGGGACGGCGCCGAGCGGCGGGAACGGGGCUGCGCGCCGCUGUCACUGCUCGUCUCCACAGCCUGGUGCCAGCUCCGUCCAGGGCCGCAUUGGUGGAAAAAUGUGUAUUUUUCACGAAACAUCAGAUGUAUAAAUGCUGUAUAUGAGAUACAGAGAUGCAUUUUCAUAUGUUUUGACAUUCGGUUAAAUUUAAUGCAUCUUUGUAAUUCUCAGAAGACAGCCGCUAAGAGUGAUGUGAACGCUGAACAUGUUUUCUGUGUUCAGACACUGAAGGGAGAUGACAUUCAGCAAACCGUGUUACAGUGCCAGUGCUCCGCAUGGACAAAACUCCGGAAUGCGCAGAGGUGUCCUGCAGUCGGGCCCGUGAGAAGCAAUUUGGGCACGGUGCCACCUGGCUGAGCAGCAGUGACUCCGCAGCAGACGAGCCAGGACUGGAAGCUGCCGGCUCCUUCUGCAGCACCCAGGUCCCAACUGCACAUCCUGGGAAGCUGGCUGGGUUCUCUAGCUAAAACACUGACCCCUUCCUCCUGCUGCAAAGGCUAUCGCUUCUUGCUUGAUUACAUCCAGAGGCAAAAGAUUAAUAGAAGAUGUCAUUAUAGAAAUGGAACUGUUUUCUAAUAGAAGUGAGGAGAAUAGCAACAGUAGAAAGUGAAGAAAGGGAUGUCAUGUCCCAUUUCUGCACAACUCCUUGCUCUGCAGUCCAGCACAACACACAUAGAAAGAACUAACUGGACUACGGGGUUGUAUCAGUUGACUUGAAAUUGUGAAACUCACCUCUGAAGAGAACAGGAUAACCAUAUAGACUGGAAGAAGGCUUGACUUCCUUCAAAAGACUUCCCUUCAGCUGAGGUUCAUCUGGAUGUUCACCAUCAUCUCCAAAGCAAACAAAUGAUCUCGUCUGAAUGGGAACCUGACUUGGGGAAAAUCUUCUCAAGCGAGGAAGACUAUCCACAGACCUUGGGGCAGUCAAGCCAUCUACGUAAGACAUUGAUGUGGACCUUCUGAUGACUCCUAAGCAAAAUUAACAUGGAAUCCAAGUGUGCUGAAAGACAGAUGCUGAAGGAAUCUGUUUUUAAGUAUAUAUGCCAUCCUGAAAUAGUAUACAACAUCCUUUGGAAAGUCUACAUUACAGUCAUACUAAAAACAGUAAGAAGGAAUGAGAUGUUACCCACUUUAAAACACAACCCAAAUACUAACUUUACUCAAAUCAUAUACAAGUGUAUAUACCUGGCUGCAACAUUUAUGUACACUGAAAGUUGAAUUUUUGAAAAUUCACGAGCCAAAGAAGAAUGAUGACUGUAUGCAUCUUAAUGUCUUUCAUCUUCAAAGCCUACUGGGCUGCAAUCUUCCUAUAAAGUGGUUGUGAAUAAGAAUUCCAUAUUCCAGUACCUUUAUAUCCUUGUUCAUAUUCCUGGAUUUCUUAGGAUGAGUGUAUACACAAGUGUUCCCACGACAUCAAAAGGUAUCACGGACAGAACACAGGCAGAAAAUGAUGGGUGUUAGCUGCCAAGGCAUUUUACAGCUGCAAGAUACUCUCAAUUGCCAAGCAGAAGAUAUGACUUGAACCAGGCCACAGUGCAAAGAUAAAGUUGCUCAUCAUCACCAAAAUUGCUAUGAUAGGACAGCAUGACACUAAUAUGUUCU